RNAcentral lists this ribosomal RNA (258 nucleotides) under uncultured bacterium. Its description in RNAcentral is "partial 16S ribosomal RNA". It matches the Rfam family "Bacterial small subunit ribosomal RNA", at positions 524 to 777 of the family's 1533-position model. The record is from RNAcentral.
UACGUAGGAUGCAAGCGUUGUCCGGAAUUAUUGGGCGUAAAGAGCGCGCAGGCGGUCUAUCAAGUCAGAUGUGAAAUAUCCAGGCUUAACCUGGAGGGGUCAUUUGAAACUGGUAGACUAGAGUACAGCAGAAGGAUAGUGGAAUUCCCGGUGUAGUGGUGAAAUGCGUAGAUAGUCGGGAGAACACCAGUGGCGAAGGCGACUAUCUGGGCCGGGUACUGACGCUGGAGGCACGAAAGGCGUGGGGAGCGAACGGGG